Molecule: ribosomal RNA, 253 nt
Filed under: uncultured bacterium
Lineage: Bacteria
Description: partial 16S ribosomal RNA
Rfam family: Bacterial small subunit ribosomal RNA
Source: RNAcentral
GACGUAGGGCGCGAGCGUUGUCCGGAUUUAUUGGGCGUAAAGCGCUUGUAGGCGGCACGUCAAGUCGCGUGUGAAAUCCCCAGGCUUAACCUGGGAAGUGCGCGCGAAACUGACGAGCUUGAGUGCCGGAGAGGGUCGCGGAAUUCCCGGUGUAGAGGUGAAAUUCGUAGAUAUUGGGAAGAACACCGGUGGCGAAGGCGGCGACCUGGUCCGUGACUGACGCUGAGGCGCGAAAGCCAGGGGAGCAAACGGG